CCUACGGGAGGCAGCAGUGGGGAAUAUUGCACAAUGGGGGAAACCCUGAAGCAGCGAAGCCGCGUGAGUGAAGAAGUAUUUAGGUACGUAAAGCUCUAUCAGCAGGGAAGAAAAUGACGGUACCUGACUAAGAAGCCACGGCUAACUACGUGACAGCAGCCGCGGUCAUACGUAGGGGGCCAGCGUUAUCCGGAUUUACUGGGUGUAAAGGGAGGGUAGACGGCAGCGCAAGUCUUGAGUGAAAUCCCAUGGCUUAACCAUGGAACUGCUUUGGAAACUGUGCAGCUAGAGUGCAGGAGAGGUAAGCGGAAUGCCUAGUGUAGCGGUGAAAUGCGUAGAUAUUAGGAGGAACACCAGUGGCGAAGGCGGCUUACUGGACUGUAACUGACGUUGAGGCUCGAAAGCGUGGGUAGCAAACAGGAUUAGAUACCCGAGUAGUC
RNAcentral lists this ribosomal RNA (440 nucleotides) under uncultured bacterium. RNAcentral describes it as "partial 16S ribosomal RNA". It matches the Rfam family "Bacterial small subunit ribosomal RNA", at positions 338 to 795 of the family's 1533-position model. The record is from RNAcentral.